GUGGGGAAUCUUCCGCAAUGGACGAAAGUCUGACGGAGCAACGCCGCGUGAGUGAAGAAGGUUUUCGGAUCGUAAAGCUCUUUCGUUAGGGACGAACGUGCUCUUUGUGAAUAAUGAGGAGUAAUGACGGUACCUAAAUAAGAAGCCACGGCUAACUACGUGCCAGCAGCCGCGGUAAUACGUAGGUGGCAAGCGUUGUCCGGAAUUAUUGGUCGUAAAGCGCGCGCAGGCGGGAUAUCAAGUCUGUCUUAAAAGUGCGAGGCUCAACCUCGUGAGGGGACAGAAACUGGUAUUCUUGAGUGUCGGAGAGGAAAGUGGAAUUCCAAGUGUAGCGGUGAAAUGCGUAGAGAUUUGGAAGAACACCAGUGGCGAAGGCGACUUUCUGGACGAUGUCUGACGCUGAGGCGCGAAAGCUAGGGGAGCGAACGGGAUUAGAUACCCUUGUAGUCC
This 450-nucleotide ribosomal RNA is filed under the name uncultured bacterium. RNAcentral describes it as "partial 16S ribosomal RNA". It matches the Rfam family "Bacterial small subunit ribosomal RNA", at positions 354 to 796 of the family's 1533-position model. The record is from RNAcentral.